Balaenoptera musculus (blue whale) is the source of this 2773-nucleotide RNA transcript. It is a transcript of the gene named arginine and glutamate rich 1, with no coding region annotated. The transcript is spliced from 3 exons. NCBI's taxonomy places the organism in Eukaryota, Metazoa, Chordata, Mammalia, Artiodactyla, Balaenopteridae. The record is from RefSeq and is a predicted model, not a curated record.
CGGGGCCUUGUGGGAGGGGCGGCCGGUGCAGCCGCGGCUGCCAUCUUAGCAAUUCCUGGCGUUGCGGCCUUGUCGUUGGAGGCGGCCUUCGUGGCGGCCGUCGGCUUCAGGGGGAGGCAGAAAGUCAGCUCGCUGAUAGCUCUCCUUCCCCCGGCUUCGACAAGAUUGCCAGCCCGCUUCCGGAAGCGGAGGCGAGGACAGCCGGGCACGUGCGGGGCCCGAAGCCAGCGGUUAGUCCCAGCGUCGCCCGGAAGGAUGGGCCGGUCUCGGAGCCGGAGCUCGUCCCGCUCCAAACACACCAAGAGCAGCAAACACAACAAGAAACGGAGCCGGUCCCGGUCGCGGUCUCGGGACAAGGAGCGCGUGCGAAAGCGCUCCAAGUCCCGGGAAAGUAAACGGAACCGGCGGCGGGAGUCGCGGUCCCGCUCGCGCUCCACAAACACGGCCGUUUCCCGGCGCGAGCGGGACCGGGAGCGCGCCUCGUCCCCGCCCGACCGCAUCGACAUCUUCGGGCGCACGGUGAGCAAGCGCAGCAGCCUGGACGAGAAGCAGAAGCGAGAGGAGGAGGAGAAGAAAGCAGAGUUCGAGCGGCAGCGAAAAAUUCGGCAGCAGGAAAUAGAAGAAAAACUCAUCGAGGAAGAAACAGCACGAAGAGUGGAAGAAUUGGUGGCAAAAAGGGUGGAGGAAGAAUUGGAGAAAAGGAAGGACGAGAUUGAGCGAGAAGUGCUCCGAAGGGUCGAGGAGGCCAAGCGCAUCAUGGAAAAGCAGUUGCUCGAAGAACUCGAGCGACAGAGACAAGCUGAGCUUGCAGCGCAAAAAGCCAGAGAGGUAACGCUCGGUCGUUUGGAAAGUAGAGACAGUCCAUGGCAAAACUUUCAGUGUCGGGUGUGCCUCCUGCGCAGUUCAGAAAGAGAUGGAAUGCAGACCAAUUCCUUUCUCAUCUAAACUUAACAUUGCUGCGAAAGUUAAUUUUUUAGCCUAUUCAGAUGUGCUGACUGAUAUUUAAAAGCUAUUUUCAUAAAACUAUCCAAGGAUACUUUUUGAUUUAAUGGAGCUGGCUUACAUAUUUGAGAAGUGUUUGAAACUUUUGCCAUGGCUGCAGGACUUACAUUCUUUUUUUGGGAGGGUGGGGGGAGACAGGGAGUGGUAAAGGGAAAAGGUUAAAAAUCCACCUGUGGUUACGUGUUCUUCUUUUCUGUUUAUCUCUCUUAUUGCCUAGACUGUGAGAGGCUUUUUGCCUUCGUUCAGAUUAAAAAGAGCAGGGCCUAACAUUGAGUGAUAGCACCUGCUUUUGAUAAGUAGGUUUUCUUGCUCUUCUUUUUUUCCUUCUUUUAUCCCUCACCCCCCUACCCCAAAUCCUGCCUCAACACAACGGACUAAUUCUAGCAUUCUGAUCAUAAGGCCCUCCAUUUUCCUAAUGUGUUUCAAAGAUCUUUUUAGGAAAAAUGUCCAGAUUAUUCGUCCACUUUUUUAGUAUCUACUAACAACUCCUUUUUUUCUCUAGAGAGUUAUGAAGGAACAGGUUGUCCUUGUCUGGAGUCAAGCUAAACACAUGAUUUGUUUUAUCAGCAGCUGGAGCAGAAGUUGAAAAUGUCUUUCUGUGAGACAGUAAUUUGCUACUGAAGCUUUAUGGCUUAUUUGCACUGAUUACUCCAGGAUCCUAAAACUUAUUGAAAGUCACUGGAACGCUCAAGGCAAAUUACUUUACAGCACUGAGUGUCCCUCAACAUAGUUUGCAUAGCGACUGUGAAUUCCAUUGGUGUGUGCCAUAGGAAAUCCCGUGGUUAUAUUUUCUUGAAGUUCAAUGUUUGACUCAAAAUAUGUGACUCAUUGUCAUUUUUAAUCUUGGCAUUAUUGUGGACAAGUUGACAUCUUAUUAAAUCUCUUGUUUCCCAGUAAGCUUAGCUUUUCAAAUGCAUUUUCCCUUGUGCUGUCUUUAACUAGAUAUACAUGUCUAUAUUUGGUGGAUAUCACAAACUCUGUGCCAUUGAGUAUAUGAAAUUUUUGUUAGUGCCUUUAAUAAUGAAGAUACUUUUGGAGUAAUGGUGCUGUCUUGUAGCGAGUUAUUAAUCAUAGGAAGAUUUUUUUCUCUUCAUUUGCUUUUUGUUUCAUAUUAACAAUUUUUUUUUUACACGGACACAACCCUCUGACAGUCUUUCCAAAUAUUAAAAUCAUUUGAAUAUGUAUGCUGUGAUCUGAACACUGCCCAAACCAUCAAGCAAUCUUCAUAUAGUUUGCAUUAUAAAAUCUCAUUAAAUUCUCCAAGAAAAAAUAAAUUACAGAAUUUUAUUUCGUGACCAUGCACCCCCUGGAUUCCUGAAUUUCAGUUCAGAUUGUAGAUGACAAGCUGCCUUUAGAAAUUGUCAACAUCUGAAUGUUAAGUCCAUUCUCCCCAUGGAAGAAGCCCUUAGUUCCAUGAAGUAUGGAUUACCAUUUGUAUUUUUCACUAACAGUAAAUGUAUUUUUCUUAUUAAUUGUUUGCCUUAGGAAUGAUGAAUUACAUUUUUUGUUCCUUCUUACCAUAAACAUCUGCAUUCCUCAGCUCAGCCUUCCUUGUAUGUUGUUUCUUUAUAAAUGGUUGAGCUGCUGAUGCAGGUAUUGCCAAGCUAACAGUACAAAUCAUUUUAAAGAGGAAGCUGGCGCGUAUGGCAGCCGAGGAGCACACUCUGCAGGACACUGGACAAGACAGAGGAAGAACGUGCAAAACGUGAGGAGCUAGAGCGAAUACUAGAAGAGAAUAACCGAAAAAUUGCAGAAGCACAAGCCAAACUGG